UUGAAGUUUGAAUCUAAAUCAGUCAAAUCAGACUCAUCCCUUUAAUUAAAAUGAGGGAGUUCAUUUAAGCUCAAACACAGGGCUGAAAUAGCCUCUCACUGUUACCAAGAAGACCACAGGGUGCCGAACCUGCAUUGAGUUUUACUAAUUAGCUCACCUGCCGCAGCUCGCCUGCCAGGUGGUUUUCUUAAUUAGUUAAUUGGUUGCAUCUGGUGCGUUUCACUUAAAAGGGAACCGGACAGUACAUUUGUUUGUGUACUGUUUUCUUGAGGCCUGUUGUGACUUAUUUAACAUCUCUUCCAGUUUCACAGGUUAAAGACUUUUUGAAGUAAAGAGGAGCAUCUCAUCUGAACCUGAUGUCUAUCAUGGAUAUUUAACUGAAGUUCUGUGAGUAUCCCAACUUAACCAUGAAGCAUAUCUGCAAACUGUAAGUCAUUAAUUUCUCAUUACUCUUGGGCACAUUGAUGCAUUUUGGCUUCCUGGUGAGUUAACCUGUUACCUGAAGGUUGAUCUUAGUAGUAAGGAUGUUUUAUUGGUUCAUGGGUUACUUAGGUGUUUGGUUUAUGUUUGUAUUAAUGAUUUGUUAAAAUGGUUACAGGCUCCAAGUUAUUGUUGUAAGCUGGAGUAAUGGGUUGGGUUCUGAUAUCUUCAGUCUUCUUUCAUUCUACUCUCCUGAGCUCUGCAUCUUCAUCACAUGAGUGUUGCUUUACUGAUGAGGGCGUGGUCUGAAUGAGCAGAGGUGCAUACUGGGAUACAGAGCUGUCUCGAGUCUACAGGUCUGUAGACACGCCCCCUCAGGGGAAACCGAGUGUUUGAGAAACUGUCGUGACGUCAGUUACAUGGACUGGAAUGUUCUUAAAGAUGGAGACAGGGAUUCAGAAGGAGAAUCACCAGGGGGAGAUGAGGGGGCUCCUCAUCUCAACGACUAAAACACAACUUCAGUCUGACAGAGAACCAUGGAACACAUUCAACAGUUCCCUCCAGGCAUCGUGACUCCUCAGGAACAGUUUCAUUUCCAAGAAGGUCUUAUUUGGGGCCAUCCCCAUAUGGAUCCUGCUCCUCAAGAGCCACCCCCCUCCACUGGGUUGUCUUCUGAACAGAUUACCUCCUUCCUGUCCUCAGGCUGACUAAAGCUGCACCAUUUGCAUCUGUGAAGGCCCCUCAUUCAGGAAACCACUGGACUACAAAGACAUGACUUCAGAGAUGUUGAAUCAACCCGGGACACAUUUUGGAGACGCCAAGCAUAAUCCAUCACCAAUGUGGGACGCCACUGAAGAAUGUUGUACAUAAUUUACGUCUCUGGAGACAUUGAUUGUUCUGUUAUGGGUGCCCUGGCAGGAGAGCUGGGGGGGGGGGGGGGAUGAUGGAAUGUUAUUUGCUAUGAGGUUUUUACCCUGCAUGAUUGUUUGGCCUUUGUGUGUGUGUGUGUGUGUGUGUGUGUGUGUGUGUGUGUGUGUGUGUGUGUGUGUGUCACCUGGCAUGGGGUUCUACGUGCCUGUCCUGGGUUCUGUGUGUGUGUGUGUGUCCGGCUUGCUUUGACAGUGAUAAUGUUCAUACGGGGGUCUGUGUGAUUGGCUUGGGCUAUUGGAAUGGUCAACUAAAUCAUACCUGUUGGACGGCCACACGUUUACGUAAGGGCCUCCAGUAGACAUGAAGAGCCCUGAGCGACGCUCCGGAGCGAGAUCCAACACACUUCGCAGGAAGGAGAGUAUCCAACUCAAGUGUAAAAGGAUGCAAGCGGCGUGUUCAGAUCAGUGACUUCAAACUAGGACUACACCAAUCAGGAUCAAUGGAGGAUGGACACCAAAAGGAAUUUCACAAGGAGAGUCUGACGUUGGAAAGGGACCUAAAUGGAUAUUCAAGAUGACCUUCAGACCUGUAAUGAGACGGCUCUUCCUACCUGGCUGGAUUGAUGGAGAGCCCUGUGGAUCUUGUCUUGCUCUCAGUUGCACGUCUUCUCAGGCUGAACUGUAUUUGUUUCGGACAGGACUAGCUGAACGAUUGGUUCCCUUAAAUCCGAACCAAUCCUGGAACUCCAGCUAGUGGGCUCUUCGAGCUGAAGUUGUGCUCUUCAGCUGAGGAGGUAAGGAAACCUUCACUGGGGCUUCAAGGUGUGAAGAGGAGAAUGUUUCAAAGUGUUCCAUGGUACUCUGAUGAAGACCGUUGUGUUCCACUGGCUGCGAGGAAGAACCCACACAUCUUCCUCUUGGCCUUUCUCCUCUGAGAAUCCUGGCGCCAUCUUGAAGGAUAUUCCAGCUCAUGUAACUGAUGUCACGACAGAUUCUCAAACACUUGGUUUCUCCUGAGGGGCGUGUCUAUGGAACUGAAGACUUCAGACAGCACUGUUUCCCAGCAUGCAUCUCUGCUCACUCAGACUACAACCCCAUAAGUAGGAUGCAACACUCUAGGGAUGGAGAUGUAGAGUUUUAUAAGUAACAAGGGAGCAGACUAAGGUAAUUAGAACACAAUGGAAUGUCAAGUCUGUAAAUCUUUAAUCCAUGAAGAUUCGUUGGAUAGUUCAGGAUUUCGGCUUUUUAUUAUCGGCAGUCCUUUUAAUCAGAUGCUCACUGGAGCUGUACAUGUGUUGGCUGGCUGGCAUGAUUUGCUGUUGGUGAUGAGGCGGUCAGGGUGACGUUGCAGGGCUAUGGUCGGCUCUCUGUGAGGUCAACAUUUAGAUUUGCUCUGUAUGGUUUGUACCCUGAAUAAUCUAGAAAAUUGUCAAAUGUAGACAGUUUUGUAUUGAAUAAUUCCAGGAUUUGAGGCUUAAAGUUGUUGUGGGACGUACAUGGUAGUUUGGUUCUUCGUAUGGUUUUGAGUGAUAUAACUUGUACACACUGGGUGCAUAAUAAUGUAAAGGUACACUGAAUAGUAUUAAUGACCAACAGCAACAAACAGAUCUCCUCAAGGUAAGUCUGUUGGCUGUGUUUUGAUGAAGACCAUCGCUAGACUUCAGGAUCUUCCUCCGUUCAGCUCAAGGUGAGGCGCUGGUUCUGUUUUUUCUUUGGUUGGUUCCGGCCGGAAUGUUCGGAUUCCAGUCGGACGGUUUGUGCUUCCCGCCGUGGAAGGUUCUGAGUGCGGUCACUUGAUUUAGUCCCAAUGGUUAGCAUAGAACGUUGUAGUCUUGACAACCAUAAUAAACCACCUGGCAGUUAGUUGGACGGGAGUCCCCUGAGGGAAUCUGGCGGAACGUUCUGGAUUGUAUUUGCGUAACCUCGAGCCGUUGCCAACGGGAAAAAAAAAUUCAGUCGGUUUCCAUUGGGAAUUGUUGCCCCCUAUCUUAAAUAACUAAAGUUAGAUAUUAAAUACAUACUAACACGUACGUCGUACAAUAUGUUGAUAAUUUCCGAUGGUUGCGCCGUACUUUUAACCACGAUGACGUUGCGGGACUCUCACUGCGUACAAAACAGCGUUCUACUUGCGGGCCCAUCAGGGAAGGCUUAAAAUCAUUUCAAGGUGGAAGAUAAUUUGACAUUUCUUCAACGGAACCCAGCAGCUGAAUAUGGCUGAGUAUAUUUGAUUUAAUAUCGCUUUGUGUUCUUUGUUACUUCAGCUUUUGUACGUUCUAAAUAUCUGCUGUCAUUAAUUGCCACAGAAGUUAAACACUACCCAAUGGAAUGACGUUAAACAUUGACUUUGGUGCAGAGUUGACAAAUGGAUAAUAUAAAAGCUAAAAUAAUGGCCGUCAUUCCCACAUGUUACAGUAGAAGAUACUCUACAACUGUACAAGGUUAAAAAGGUAACAUGUAGUUUGUUCCAAGGUGUCUGCCUCCUCACCCAGAGCAAGACCUCCACCUCCUCACCCAGAGCCAGACCUCCACCUCCUCACCCAGAGCCAGACCUCCACCUCCUGUCAGAAGUCCUCCAGAACAGCUGAAAGGCGAGGCUGAGAGGCUGGGGACCGGAGGCUUGUGGUGCCAGGGUGGACCUGAGGCUGGAGACCAGGGGCCUGCAGCACCGGACCAGAGGCUGUGAGUAAGUGAAGGAGCUGAUGGAGGAGUCGUGCUGAAGGAGCUGAUGGAGGAGCCGUGCUGAAGGCCCUGGGCUGGUGGAGGGCCUGCCUGGUGAAUGACGUCUGUCGUGGGGUAGAUGGAGCUUGACUCUGAAACCAGGACUCUGUCUGAGGAGAGCUGCUGGAGGAGCUGAGACGCUGGAGGACGACUAGGAAUCGACCAACAAGGAUUCCUCAUAAAACGUGUUUCUGGAGCGGAGGCGAGCUGGUAGGGGAGCCGUGAAUCUGGAGGAUGACCAUCACUCUACCAACAAGGAUUACUUUAGGGCCAGACUCGCGCUGUUUGUUCCAGACCAGGACUCUGAUGGAGGAGCCAAGACUCUGGAGGACGACAUCACUCCACCAACCAGGAUCCUUAGACAAAUUACGUUUGUAACCAGACCAGGAUCUGGAGGACUGAUGGAGAAGCCGUACAUCUGGAAGGCAAAUCCUGAGGACCACCAGGACUCUACCAUCAAGGAUUCCUCAUAAGUUUGCAUUAUCUGGACAUAGUGGACUAGACGCACCUGAGCUGAACCUCACCUGAUCCUGUUUGGUCGGGGGUAGACACACCUGAGCUAAACUUGCCCUGAUCCUGACAUCCUGCUGGUCCCGUCUCCUCAGUUCAUCUGAGCCUCGUCCUCCAGAAGACCUGCUGAGCUCAGCAGUCUGAGGCUGAUGGAUCAAUGACCUCCAGUGGGAGUGAUCUUCUUGACCCCACAUGUAACCGUGUGCUUCCACACGCCUUUCCUUCACGUCUGUCACUAACCUCACUACUUCACUACUCUCUACUGCUUCCUCUUUUCUUCCUUCUCUGUGGUUCAAACCUUUACACUGAAGGCGUGUCUUCCUGCCCUCAGAGGGUUUAGCGUUAGGGUUGAGAGUCAGGGUUUAGAGUCAGGGACAGAGCUGGUCAGGGAGGACUGCUUUUACACAAACCUCUUCACUUGCUUUCGGAAUGGUGGUGACAUUUUGAAAAGAUUCAUUUGGGAAAAUGUUUUCCUCUGCUUUCCUUUACAAAAUUGUAUUAAACUUCUGUCAAGUGUUUUUAUUUAUAUAUUAAAAUCCCACAUU
Molecule: long non-coding RNA, 5062 nt
Organism: Gadus macrocephalus (Pacific cod)
Lineage: Eukaryota; Metazoa; Chordata; Actinopteri; Gadiformes; Gadidae
Exons: 9
Source: RefSeq, a predicted model, not a curated record